RNAcentral lists this non-coding RNA (31 nucleotides) under Mus musculus (house mouse). The record is from RNAcentral. Lineage: Eukaryota; Metazoa; Chordata; Mammalia; Rodentia; Muridae.
UUCACUGCUUCAGGUUGUCUGUCUGGAAUUU